RNAcentral lists this ribosomal RNA (468 nucleotides) under uncultured bacterium. RNAcentral describes it as "partial 16S ribosomal RNA". It matches the Rfam family "Bacterial small subunit ribosomal RNA", at positions 28 to 507 of the family's 1533-position model. The record is from RNAcentral.
GACGAACGCUGGCGGCGUGCUUAACACAUGCAAGUCGAACGGAAAGGCCCUGCUUUUGUGGGUUGCUCGAGUGGCGAACGGGUGUGUAACACGUGAGUAUCCUGUCCUUAUCUUACGGGUAACAUUACGAAACUCGGGCUAAUAUACCAUAUGAUCUCUUGCUCCAUAGGGGGGGUUGGAAAGUUUCGGCGGUUGGGGCUCGACUCGCGGCUUAUCCGCUUGUUGGUGGGGUAGUGGCUUACCAAGGCUUAGACGGAUAGCCGGCCUGGGAGGGUGAACGGGGACAAGGGGACUGAGGGAGGGAGCAGAAGGGAAUGGUACGCAGCGGUGGGGAGCAUGACAGAGUGGGCGGAAGCGAGAGACGAAGACGCUGGGAGCGGAAUGACGGGUUACGAGGGGAGAACAGAUGUCGAAGGAAACGAGGAGUGAGUGACGGUAAUGGGUAAAGAAGCACCGGCUAACUACGUG